CUCCAAGUCACCCUCCUGUCCCCUUACCUGCAUAGGAAGACACAGGAGAAAUCUGUAGAGGGUAGAGCUCGCUCAUGCUGACUGGCUGGUCAUCACUCUCGGUGGUCACUUCUACAACCUGGCAGAUGUCUGGCGGGAAGGUGCCAUGAUUACUUUCAGGAAUCUGUGGUCCAGACAGACGCUGUCAAGCCUUCACAGGAAGGCAAAGACACAGCAGUCCACUCACUGAGCCAUUUCUGGCUGAAUGGAAAGGGGAAGGAGGCUCUGUUUACACUGUCUCCUGAUCUGAAGGUAGCCGACUGUCCAAACUACCAGAGCAACGCAGCAGGGCCUAGAUUCUAACAAACGGUAAUAGCAUUAACUGCCUACACACCGAGAGGAUGAAUCUAAUUAAGCUUGGUCUUCUAUUUUUUGUUAAUUCAAGUCUUUAUUUUGGUGAAGAGAACAAACAGUGGAAUACCCAGACUCAACCAAUACUACAACACAGCCCUACACCCAAGGCUACAGAAGAGAGGGCAGCAAGACUGUGAGAGCUAGAGGACCAUGGCAUCUACUGUGAGGCCAACUGCUCCAGAAUGGUGGGAAACAUGCUACGACCAGUGGACUAUGAUUGUGGUACCGCUAUCACAUUCUCUGGCUGUGAAGUUAAAUUCUUUGAUCAGCAGCAAUACUGUGUGGAAUACCGUGAUGGUGGAUAAGUAAGGACUGCCAACUUCGGGACCACUUCUACUUGAUAAUGGAUUUCUGCUGUACACAUCCUAUUAGGACUUGAUGGGUCAGAGGUCACCCAGCUCAUGAUGGGAAGCUCAGCCUGCAUGGUAACUUUGUGGCCGAUUGUCAAAGUUUCCACCAAGGCCCAAGAGCAAGUGAAGAACUGUUUCUCAGAGAGAGAACAGCUGUCUGCAGAUGAUGGUCCAAAAAUCCCAAAGGUCUCUUCUGUCAUUCACCUCUAGGGGUCUGACAAAGGUUCCAAAUGGCACCGACACCCCAAGUGCCAUUAAUUCUGCUGGAUCACAUGGUCCAAGGGUAGAGCAGCCUGCAUCACAGUCUGGGCCUGCUGAAGAGUCCCCUCCUGUUCCAGGCUUCAUUCAAAGUUAGCAGCUUUCCAAAUCACUUGGAAUGCAGGCUGGGGUAACGCACCCAUAUGAGGAAUAGGCUGUCUUCAGAAUCCACACAGGCCCAAUAAAACAUUCAGCACUUCUUUCUUGUUGGUAGCAAGGGCCAAGUGCAAUGACUUACUCUUCACCUCGGAAGAAGCACCUUUACCUGACACACACCACUGGACUGCCAGAAUUUUUCGUUGGAUUUACUUCUUAUCCUUUGAUGAGAAUGUGUUUCAACAGAGUCCAAAGUGGUUGCUACCACUUGCUCAUUUGGUCCAAUCAGCAUAACAUCAUUAAUAUAGUUCAUCAACAUGAUAUUUUUUGGAAGAGACAUGAUCUAGAUCUCUUUGAACAAAGUUAUAACACAGGAUGGAGAGUUCAUAUGUCCUUGAGUAAAGCUGUAAAGGUAUAUUGCUGGCCUUGCCAACUGAAGGCCAACUGCUUCUGAUGGUCCCUAUGAGCAGGUACCAAGAAAAAGGCAUUUGCUGGAUCAGCAGCCGCAUACCAUGUACAAGCAGAUGUACAUGCUCAAGUAAUCUGCUCAGAGAUAGCAACAAGCCAGACAAAAGCCGCAUAGUGGGACAACUCCGGGGGAAUCCAAAAUGGAAGAAGAAGCUGGAGGAGGAGAGUGGAAAGAGGGCUGCGAGCAGACGAGCAUUGUGGGUAAAGUGGUAAAGUCAGGCAUUCUAAGGCAUACUGGGCAUUCUUAUCAACUGGUCACACUGGGGAAUAAGAUCAAACUCUGUACAAGUCUCAUGAUCCUCUGGCAAACUCCCUUGAUCAUUCUGUCUGAAGGGCAUCACCUUGAGGUUCAGCUCAGCUUAAGGAAAACAAAACAAACAAAUGAAAAUCCUCACUGUAGGGUUUACCCAGAAGACCCCAGGGCAGGCCCACUGAGCAGAAAUUGUACCCCUUUCUCUGAUAGUGUCUUGUAUUUUCUCUCUUAGCAUCUUGUAAGUUCCAAUAGAAGGCUUGUUCUUUCAGGGAGAGGGGGAGGAACCUUAUCAGUUUUCCUUCCUUUAUGGUCAAACAUCUAAGCAAAUGCCUGCCUUUGCUAACCCCACCUUCUCAUGCACACCCUUAGGAAGGCCUAUAGUCCUAUCUCGCCCCCAUCUGCAGAAGACACGCUAAGAGGACUCUGGAAUCAGACCAGGUGACCAAGCCUGGCUCCUGUACGUCUCACUGGCUGAAUUUAACCCUUGAAUCCCCUCUUCAACCGUCUUAGUCAUGUGCGAGCUGAGAAUGGUAAUGGAAACCAUGCCAAGGGUUGAAUAGAAACUUAAAGGAGAUGAAUAUCGACAAGGCAAGGCGUUUAUUCUUAAAUAACAUUUGCUACCAUCAAAGGUCACCAAUAAAACUGUUCUUACCAAAUCCAAGGGCCCUUUCUCAAGUCCCUUCCCCUAAGCUCCAUCCUCAGGACUUUGCCUCCCUCUUGACAGCCUGAAUCACACGCAGCUACUGCGCAUGUGCACCUCACCGUAGCGCCAUCUUUUCUCCAUGGCUCUCUCAAUGGCCCCUGUUCCGUUUUCCCCUCCUCAAUCAUUUUCCACGGUCUACUUAUGUACGUCAUUUCGUCAGUUCCUCCCUAAGAAACUAAGUACAGAUCUCUAAACAAAGGACAGGAAGAACUGCUGCACAUUCCCUUUUUGUUUCCUUUUUUUUUUAAAGUCAUUCUAUUUUUAGAUUUCUUAUCAAAGUAAUAAAACAACCAGGUUUGCAUUAUUCAAAAAUUGAAUUAUUCUGACUUUGCAACAGAGACCUCUAAGUGUUUCACAUGAUCUGCAGUUUAACUACUGGUGACAAAUGAUCCUUUUGUCACUUUUUGUGAGAGAAAAAUUAUGAGUCACUACGUUAGUUUUCCAAGUUCAUGCUACUUUUAGCCUGGUGUGAUGCAGGAACUGAGCCCAGCCUUUGCUUGUGCUGUAUGUUCAAAUGCAGGAGCCUCGUCUUCUGCACCCAUCCAGAUGGAGAACAGGAUGGAUGGGGUGGGCUGCUGCUUCUCUCUGGUAUCCUGCCUGGGGCAGAACAUUCCUCUAAUGGCUAUUGAAAGACUAAUUGGAACUUGUCUUACUCCUCCUACAACCAGUCUGGGAAAACUCUCAUUGGUUCUGUCACCCCAGAGCUCCUGUUCUCAACCUGUGGGUCACGACCCACCUGGGGAGGUCAACGAUCCCUUCCCGUGGUUGGCUAUUAGAUAUUCUGCAUAUCGGAUGCUUACAUUACGGUUCAUAAAAUUAGCAAAGUUGAAGUUAUGAAGCAGCAAUGAAAAUAAUUUCACCACAACAUGAAGAACUGGUCACGGCCCUAGGAAGGUGGAGAACCACUACACCAGUGAACAAGAUGGUAACUUGUAGAACAUUAUGUGCUGGGCAGAAUCCUGACAAGCCUCCUUCCAAGUGGGCCCAGGAGAGAAGCUUCUCUAAGGACUCAACCAAAACUUCUGAAAUAAUUAGAAAUGGGUUAUCAAAAGCUAAGAGGUCAAAAAACAAGAAUAAAAGAGGUGAGGGGUUCUCUGACUUCCACUAUGUACACUAUAUACUGUGCAUAUGCAUACACACAGGCACACAAAUAGAUAUUAAGUAAUGUAAUGCAAACGACUUUACAAAAACCCUAAAUAACAUUUAAAACCCAAACUGGAAAGAGGUGUUGGUUCUCUGUGAACAGGCGCAGAGAUGGUGUAAAAGAUGGAUGGCCUGUCCUGGUCAUCUCUGGUGGCCCACUGCUGCUGUAUCAACUCUCCCUCACUCGCCCAGUCCAGUGAGUCCUGAGCAUGUUAGAGGUGCUCUUACAAGUCAGCUUACCUGAGACUGCCUAGGCUUCUCAGCCUCUUGCCUCACUCCAGCAAAAACCAACAAACAACUCUCAGGCAGAUGCCUCUGCAGUGCCUCUAACCCUGCCAACUAUUUAGGCUCAAAGACAUCUUCUGUAAUUACAGAAGAUCUGGUAUAACUUAAAGAAUUUUUAAGUAAAAGGAAACAGACACUGUAGAGAGUUUUAAGGGUGAGUGGAGGCUACCCUUAACACCGGUAAAACAGGCUCACUUUGGUUGGUCUCUGGCCUUGGCUUGUUAGAUGAGUUUGCCAUAUAGUGUGGCUUGUGAGAUAAAGCAUCCGAGGAGCCAGCAUCAGAGGAGCCCGUGGUGGGACACCUUACCCCUCUGCUCCAAGUCCCUUCUGUCUCACUGCUAUGAUAAAGCACUCUGUCUAGAUCUGUCCUCCCAGGGCCCAGUGGAAUGGCCUUCAGAAAGUUUUCCACCCCUACCGACCUCUUAUCUCAAAAUGCUCUCUCAAAGUCAAUUUGAGGGCCUCAGAUUUAAGGGUACCUCCUCUAGGUCUCUGUUAAAAGGGCCAAGCUGAGCUUCCUAAACAAAGGCAAGAACCUCCCAGGGUGCAGAGACCCACCUCAGCCUCACAGAGAACAAAAGCUGCCUGCCACAUGGCCUCCAGCCUACCCUCACCUUUCCUACCCUGAGGCAAGGCUGUCUUUACUCAUCUCUGUCUGACCAGCUUCCCCAUAGCUCAUUCUUCUCCCUUUUCUUUCCCUUCACCUCAGAGAAUUUCUGUCUUGGGAAAAAGGCCUGCCUUUAAGACUUCCAAUGUCAUUCUGGAAUAAACGUCACACCUUUGGGCCUCAGACACUCAUCAUAGAUCUGCUAGCCAGGGUUCUCCCAUUUCACUCACAAACAAGCUCCAGGCCUAAUAUUCCCUCACUGUAUCUUUCACCCGCUCCUGUCUUCACCCUGGGCUCUAUCCUAAUGGUCGCCAUCUUUGUCUAUACUUGCUACUGUGUAGUUUGUCAUUUUCUUCCUCUUACCUUGAACCACUGGGUUCCAAACCUUUGCCCCAAGUAGUUCAACUUUUUUCCCUAAAGCUCUCCAUAGAAGUGUAGACAAGACUUCCAGGCAUGGCGCUGUGUCUAGAGAGACGGAUGCACUGAGUAGAACUUCCGUAGGAUAAAGAGACUGGAGUAAUGAAGAACUAAGCAGGUCAUCCUGAGCUAGUUUAGUCUCCUUAAUAGUGAUCCUUGCCCCACACUGUCAGAACUAGCACAGUGUGACUAGUCGAUAAGAACCUUUUGAACUACGUUGCCACAGCACAACACCAGCUUCUGUCAACUCCAAAACCAAGAACGCCAUCCGACAUGAGGCCCAAGAGAAAGGUCCCCUAGCCCCCGGCAAAAGCCUCUCUGAUUCUCCCACCAAUGUGUUUUAAACUUGCCUGGACUUGGUCUUUUCUUGAUUCCCUAUAACUAUAAAAUUUCACAGAGCUUCUUCCACGGUGGACGUGGAAUUUGGGGUGACCUAAAUCUAUGCUCCAGAGCCAUGGUCACCCAGAUUUAGCUCUAGAAUAAACCAUCUAUUCUGUCCUCUAAGACGAAAGCUAUCCCUCGUGUCCACAGAAAUGACUUAGCCCACCAGUGGGGAGGGGGCGGGAAUGGCCAGUGAAGGCUCCUAACCUGCUCCAUCCUCCUAGGUGGCUUUAUCCAAAGCAGCUCUGAUUUCAAGUAGAGCGCAGAUGCAGCUCACCUGGAAUCACAGUUUCCAACCUGAAGAGUUUUCCCCAGCAAGGAAGGGGCUGCUGCCCUAACAGUCCUGCCUAAUCGGGAAUGCACUGUUGCAGGAAACACGCUUGUGAGAAAGAUCUGCAGAACAGGUACCAGCCAUUCUGUGUCUUCUACACACAUGGCUGCCCCAGAACUAACGCAGACCAGUGACUUCCGCCAAGUGACAUUAGGCCUCUUUCUAUUCUGUUUCCAUGGGAACGCUGAUGCGUUGAUCUGGAAAUGCUUGUGUUUUCAUCUGCAAACAACCCCCAAGGCAGGAAGCAUUCCUUCACAGCCACCUUACCUGUGCAUCUUUAUUUCCCAUUGUUCUCCACACAAAGUCCCUGAUUAAAUUAAGCCGGUUUCCAUAUUCAUUCGGAGAAAAACAAAUAACUCUGACCUCUAGAACUUUACUCAUGAAGCAUCCGCUCCUAGGGAAUGUGGAUUAUCUGAUCUGGGACACAUUUCCCUCCCUAGGAUCUGGCUCAAGUUCUGCAGCUUCCCAAAAGGCUGAGGCAUGAAGUUCACAAACUCCAGAAAGCUAUGCCAUCUUGGGAAAAUGACUCAGCCCCUAUGCCUGUUCUUCCUUGAUAUGGAAAAGAGAAAACCUCUGACCAUCACAGGAAGAGCUAAAUAAGGUAGUAUCAUUUAGAGGAACUAAGAAUUGCUGACACCUACUGUCCUACCUACUUUUAAGUCUUAUUGUUCUUGGUCUUGCCUAUAAGGAACAGAGCAAUCUGUUUUAGGAGAACAAUCUGUUCCAUGAUAUUUUUUGAAACACAUACAUUCACUGAUGUUCAGUCUAGGGCGUCUCACUAAUGUUUCUCUUAUUCUAAUUUCCUAAGGUUGGACAGGUAGUGCCACAGAGGCAGUUUAUUUCACUAAGCACACAGGAUAUACUCUCAGAUAAUGAUAGAAACAAAGACAUUUUAGAGGCACAUCUGUCCCAAUUAGAUGACCUUAUGAAAUGUAACUGAUGCCCAGAAAAUGAUGGGUCAGUGGUGGGCAGGACCACACUGACCAGUACUACAUAGAUGUUCACAUUCUCUGCCUUCUAUUUAAACUUUAUUUGUCUUUCCAUACCCUGAAGAUGGUGGCCUUUUGUAUCCUAAAGGUGGACCUGAGGGUUCUGUUCUUCUUGCUGUCAUAUUGAAAAACAAUCUCAAUUUUCUGCUUUCUGCUAUUAAUUUAGCUCUUUUAAGUGGCUACUGAGGAUGGGUGACCAAAUAUGGCUUGGAGAACAGGCUUCAAGUUGAAAACGUGGUCCAGCAAAUUAUUAGGACUGUGUGAAAUCUCACUGGGAAGCAAGUUUCUCGAUUGGUUGGGGGCUUUUCCUUCUCCCAGCAUGAGAUUUCUGGGAAAAUUCCCAUUUCUUUGGGGUUCGCUCUUUUAAUCAUCUGAUCACGUCUCUUCAGAAUACCUUCGUUUCUGCAGGGCCAGUUACAACCACCCCCAACCCCCACUUUAAGUCCUCAGUCUUGAGGUGGAAUUUGUCUGCGUUUAAAUGAACACAGAUAGGAACAAGGGAAGAUUAGAACUUACUUACUGUCAGCUGUGCUUGCAUAGAAAGCAUUUUCUUCUAACCCCUUGGCUUUGGGAAGAGCUGUCACAACCAACUUCAUCUUGGUUUGAGAAAAGGGUUUAUCAUAAAGCCCAGACUUGCCUCAAACUUAAUACCCUCCUGCCUCAGCCUUGUCAAGGCCAGAAUGACAGGAAAACACUACCAUGCCCAGUGUGAUUCCAUUUUAACUCUGACAACUUCCCUCCCUUAUCUCCACUUCUACUGUGUGGCCAUGGAUCUUGGAGAAACUAUUUUCCGGAAGGAGGAACAUUCAGUGAACAUGUCCGUGGCUAACAUGCCCUAAAUGUUAUUUGCUGGUUAAAACUUUAACUUGAAUUGAAGGUUGGGAAGAGCUUGCUUCAACGAUGUGUGUCACUGCGGUUGUAGGUGUGCACUGACAGUUUUCUCAGCAGGGAGCUGGCUAGUCCAGCCACUCAGGCACUUACACGACUGAAGAAUUCAGCUUGGAUAUUUUGUUUGUUCUGUUAUUGUUUGGGGUAGGGGGUGGCAGUUGGUGGCUGUUUUUAUUUCAUGAAACAGGAUUUAGUGUAGCCCAGGCUGACCUUGAACUUCCUAUGUAGCCUAGGCUUACCUUAAAAUUCCCGGCCCUUCUACCACCACGUCUGCUUCCACUCCCCAGGUACGAGGAUUAUAGGUAUACGCCUCCAAACUGGCUCAGCUCUCCUACUUUGACUCUUUUUAUUUUGUCUUUUUUUUUUCCCGGAACUGAGGACCGAACCCAG
Molecule: non-coding RNA, 7949 nt
Organism: Rattus norvegicus (Norway rat)
Lineage: Eukaryota; Metazoa; Chordata; Mammalia; Rodentia; Muridae
Source: RefSeq, a predicted model, not a curated record